CACGUAGGGGGCAAGCGUUGUCCGGAUUCAUUGGGCGUAAAGAGCUCGUAGGCGGUUCGAUAAGUCGGGUGGGAAACCUCCAGGCUCAACCUGGAGACGCCACCCGAUACUGUCGUGACUAGAGCCCAGUAGGGGAGCGUGGAAUUCCUGGUGUAGCGGUGAAAUGCGCAGAUAUCAGGAGGAACACCGGUGGCGAAGGCGCCACUCUGGGCCGAAACUGACGCUGAGGAGCGAAAGCGUGGGUAGCAAACAGG
RNAcentral lists this ribosomal RNA (254 nucleotides) under uncultured bacterium. RNAcentral's name for it is "partial 16S ribosomal RNA". It matches the Rfam family "Bacterial small subunit ribosomal RNA", at positions 524 to 776 of the family's 1533-position model. The record is from RNAcentral.